UGGUAGCGUGUCAGACUUCCUUGGCUGGGU
Molecule: non-coding RNA, 30 nt
Filed under: Mus musculus (house mouse)
Lineage: Eukaryota; Metazoa; Chordata; Mammalia; Rodentia; Muridae
Source: RNAcentral